This 214-nucleotide ribosomal RNA is filed under the name Nocardia rhamnosiphila. Its description in RNAcentral is "partial 16S ribosomal RNA". It matches the Rfam family "Bacterial small subunit ribosomal RNA", at positions 1322 to 1533 of the family's 1533-position model. The record is from RNAcentral. Lineage: Bacteria; Bacillati; Actinomycetota; Actinomycetes; Mycobacteriales; Nocardiaceae.
GAAGUUGGAGUCGCUAGUAAUCGCAGAUCAGCAACGCUGCGGUGAAUACGUUCCCGGGCCUUGUACACACCGCCCGUCACGUCAUGAAAGUCGGUAACACCCGAAGCCGGUGGCCUAACCCUUGUGGGGGGAGCCGUCGAAGGUGGGAUCGGCGAUUGGGACGAAGUCGUAACAAGGUAGCCGUACCGGAAGGUGCGGCUGGAUCACCUCCUUU